Molecule: ribosomal RNA, 253 nt
Filed under: Bacteroidales bacterium
Lineage: Bacteria; Pseudomonadati; Bacteroidota; Bacteroidia; Bacteroidales
Also listed under: 1 other name
Description: partial 16S ribosomal RNA
Rfam family: Bacterial small subunit ribosomal RNA
Source: RNAcentral
UACGAAGGUCCCAAGCGUUAUCCGGAUUUAUUGGGUUUAAAGGGUGCGUAGGCGGAUUAUUAAGUCAGUGGUGAAAGCCCCAGGCCUAACCUGGGAAUUGCCAUUGAUACUGAUGAUCUUGAGUACAUUUGAGGCGGGCGGAAUGUGUCAUGUAGCGGUGAAAUGCUUAGAUAUGACACAGAACACCGAUUGCGUAGGCAGCUCGCUAAACUGUAACUGACGCUGAGGCACGAAAGCGUGGGGAGCAAACAGG